This 506-nucleotide ribosomal RNA is filed under the name uncultured bacterium. Its description in RNAcentral is "partial 16S ribosomal RNA". It matches the Rfam family "Bacterial small subunit ribosomal RNA", at positions 29 to 523 of the family's 1533-position model. The record is from RNAcentral.
AGUGAACGCUGGCGGUAGGCCUAACACAUGCAAGUCGAACGGCAGCACAGGAGAGCUUGCUCUCUGGGUGGCGAGAGGCGGACGGGUGAGGAAUACAUCGGAAUCUACUCUGUCGUGGGGGAUAACGUAGGGAAACUUACGCUAAUACCGCAUACGACCUACGGGUGAAAGCAGGGGACCUUCGGGCCUUGCGCGAUUGAAUGAGCCGAUGUCGGAUUAGCUAGUUGGCGGGGUAAAGGCCCACCAAGGGGACGAUCCGUAGCUGGUCUGGGAGGAUGAUCAGCCACACUGGAACUGAGACACGGUCCAGACUCCUACGGGAGGCAGCAGUGGGGAAUAUUGGACAAUGGGCGCAAGCCUGAUCCAGCCAUACCGCGUGGGUGAAGAAGGCCUUCGGGUUGUAAAGCCCUUUUGUUGGGAAAGAAAUCCAGCUGGCUAAUACCCGGUUGGGAUGACGGUACCCAAAGAAUAAGCACCGGCUAACUUCGUGCCAGCCGCCGCCGUAA